AGACUAUCCACAAGGGGGCUGCUGCAAUAUCUAGGUGAGAUAAUGGGGGCUGGACCAUGGUACUAGAGGGAAGUAAUGAGAUGGGUCUUAUUCUGGAUUUUGAAGGUUGAGUCACAAAGAACCAUUUAAGGUCAAAAAUGGAGAGUCACAGAAAGCGGGGGGAAUCAAGGAUGACUCCAAGGGUUUUGGCCUGAACUGGAAGAACUAAGGUACUCUUUAGGGUGGGGAAGACCACAAAAAGGUCAGACUUGGGGCUGCUGGUGAGACAAGGACUUUGCUUUGAAACACUGUUUUUAUCCAAAUGGAGAUGCUGAGCCGGAAGUCAAGUGUAUGAGUCUGCAGCUUAGGAGAAGGGUCUGGGGGAGUCGUUUGGGAAACAACAGAGAGGUGGGAUUUAAAGCUGUGAGCCUGGAGGAGAUCUCUGAGGCAGCACAUGCAGAGACGAAAGGACAGAGGACUGAGACCUGGGCCCCUCUGAUGAGGAGGAAUGAGUGAUGGAGGAAGCAGGUGAGGGCGGGGUCCUGCAAGCCAAGUGUGCCAAGUGCCGCAGGCUCUGUCCACAAUAAGUGUGGAACGAGGAGCUGGUGGAGGGGAGGACGACCCCUCUUGCUUUCCAGGGGCGUUCUCUGGCAAACAGUCUCUAUGGGAGCCAAUCUAAGGGAGUCGGACCUGCUGAGGCGGCCCUGCUCCUGUGAGCCAGAAGCUGUCUCCUUCCAGGAAGGUGGAACGGGUCUGCUCUGGAGGCGCGGCCUCUACUCUCCCAGCAUAAUUUCCCUCGGCUCUCAACUCCAGCUGGGCCUCUAAGACUCAGCUCAGUUACCUCCCUUCUGCCAGGUGGCUAUGCUGACCCCCCAAGACUGAGCUGGGUGCCCCUCCAACCAGCUCCCACAGGACCCACUGCUCCCUGCUGGAGAACUCCCCACACCAAGCCUGCUUACAUGUCUCAGCCUCCGAACAGGCUAGGCACACCCUGGGUUUCUGGGAAGCUUCCUUAUUUCUGCAUCCCCAAUGCCUAGUGUGGUGCAAGGCAUCUAAGAGACUCCCGUAAAUGCUUGUCAACAAACACUCAGAAGUCCAUUCUGCUGGUGUCUGGCCACGCCUGGCCCUCCUAUGCAGAAGCUCCAGCCCCUAGACUUCUUGGGAAACCUAAGGCGCUGGGGGAUGCCGUCCCACCCUUGGCAGCUCAGCAGGGACCCUCACAGCACUUGGCCUACUGACUCUCACUGACUGUGUGUUAGAUGCCAAGGAAAAGGUCACGGACGUGGGCCCAAGUCCGAGUCCUGGCAUUCUCAAGUAGUCAGGACUGCAGUCUCCCGUGUCUAAAAUGGAAAUGAUACACGCUUAUCCUUGAAGUCACUCCUCAUCAGUUGUGACAACAUUCGGGAAAGUGUUUGGCAAACUGUAAACCAGCCAGGCAAAUCGGAGGCACGUUGAGGCUUUUCCUUGGCAGCUGAUCCUGGGCACAUGACUGGGCCUGUAUGACCCAUCCCACGCCACGUGAGGCCUUCUCCUUGGUUCUUCUCAAGCCACUGAGGACAAGCAGCAUCUUCCUCAGACAACAGGAACUGGGGAAUAAGUGGGGUCUGGCCCAGCGGAAACUCUAACACACAUAUGGACGUGCACAGUGUUUCCAGUGACUAAGGGCCACACGAAGCAGUUGGCUGGACCCUUCCUGAAACUUGUCCCAGAAUGGGCUCAGCUGCGGAACUGCUCUGACCAGAGCUGCCCCGACUCUGGCCAUCCUUGGCCCCACUGUCCCGCUUUUCUGGGGGCGAGCCCUCUCCUCCCCUCAGGGCAGGGACCCAGGCUCCCCCUUUCCCUCGGCAGCAGGCGACACACAGGAGGUUCAGCAUGCAGGGUAGUUUAUUGAUAUUUGCUUCCCCAAAUAACCUUUUCUCACCAGUGAAGGUUGAAAGAAUGGGGGUGGGGAGGCAGGGAGGGCGUACAGAUGAAAGCCAAAAGGCUGGACACAAUGAUAAGUAAGAAAGUGUAACUCUGUGAGCUGACUCGACUUCUGAACAGACUUCUAAGACCAUCUCUGCUCACAGGGUGUGUGCUCCCCUUGGCUCUAAACCGUCACAGAAACAGAAGGAAGAGGAAGUGGUGGUCUGCCCAGAUGGGGCCUGGGGACUGUCAUGACUGUCCAGAUUGCUAUGGUCAGAGGGCAUCCCAGCCAGACCCUGAGCCCAGGGUGGAGCGAGGGAGCGGGACGCCAGGUCCCAGGAGGGCUGCCCGAGGCCCUCGCCCACCUGCCCGGCUCUGCAGGCUCCUCGUCUACCGCUUCUUCUUGGCCUCCUUCUUGGGCCUCUUGUUGGCGGAGGGAGCAGCAGCCUUGGGCUUCCUCGUCACCUCUGCACUUCUGGGCUCCAAUGGUUCUGCCUCCUGUGUGGUGAUAGAAAGAAGAGUCCUACUUAGACCAACUAAGCCAACCCUGGCAAAAUGAGAGCAUGUCGGACAGGACUUUGCACACUGAAGCAAGCCUCAGAAACACAAGGGAUGGAAACCACGAUUGCCAGGACCCAGAAUCCACACGUCUGCAGGACCACCCCUG
RNAcentral lists this long non-coding RNA (2551 nucleotides) under Equus caballus (horse). Its description in RNAcentral is "lncRNA (ENSECAG00000059270.1)". Lineage: Eukaryota; Metazoa; Chordata; Mammalia; Perissodactyla; Equidae. The record is from RNAcentral.